RNAcentral lists this long non-coding RNA (492 nucleotides) under Homo sapiens (human). Its description in RNAcentral is "HSALNT0009038". Lineage: Eukaryota; Metazoa; Chordata; Mammalia; Primates; Hominidae. The record is from RNAcentral.
UGUCAUCUUAAUGUCCCCAGUAGCACCAAUACAAGAAGGAUCUUUCUAGGAAAACUGUAUGGAUUGAAUGGAUUGAAGAAAGAACAAGACUGGAAACAGAAAAAAUAUCUUCUGCCAAAAGUAUUUUGAAAACCAAAGUGAUUUGCCUCUACUUGAAAAAUCAACUUCUAAAUUACACUCAAAAGGUGCCUUGUUGUGAACUGCCCUAUGGAUAGAAACACAUGGUAACUUUGAUGCCUCUGGAUAGCAGCAAGUAUGCACUUAAAGCCUGCCAAAGUCCAUGUGAAGAAGCAUGGAAGUGGAUUAUCUUCCAAACACUCACUGACAUGGCUACAGCCUCACCCGACACUUUUACUGCAGUCUUCUGAGAGAUACUCCCUAAGCCAGGGGAUCCAGCUAAGCCAUUCCAAGAUUCUUGACCUAUAGAAACUGCAGUAUAAUAAAUGUUUGUUUUGCUAAGCCACAAAGUUUUGGGGUGAUGUUUUAUAUAAC